This 272-nucleotide long non-coding RNA is filed under the name Ananas comosus (pineapple). Its description in RNAcentral is "long non-coding RNA (ACOM_LNC018018)". The record is from RNAcentral. Lineage: Eukaryota; Viridiplantae; Streptophyta; Magnoliopsida; Poales; Bromeliaceae.
UCGACUCUUGACUCCGAAUAUUCUAUUUUAACCAAACCGGCGGCUCUUCAGUAGUCGCCAGUGUCUCUGCCUCCGUCAAAAGUACCAGUUGCACUCCUUCUUCGGUGAUCCGGACGAAUGAGAUCUAGUUUGGGUCCGUGUCAGCCCAAUUUACAUGACCAAUGUCUUCUAUAUUCACGUCUACCAUCUGCAACCUCCCUUCGGCUGCUAUUUCUUCAACAUGUUCCCCAACCCACUGAAAUAACUUUUCGUGCUAGGUCAAAGAUACAUGU